GAGAUGGCCCAGCGAUGGUGUGGCACUGCAGUACUGCUGCUCAGUCCAGAAAUGAGAAACAGAGCUUGUAGGGUGGUUUCAUCUGUACCAUCUGUGGGCCAUAUUGCACAUCAGAUGGCAGGAUAAAAUCUGUAACAAGAACGUUUUGGGACAGAAAAGUCUUUCAGGGUUUGAAGCCUUGAUAUUCACAACACAAUUGCGCAGAGCCACUCAUGUAUCCAAAACAGAAGACGCAGAAUGCCAAAGCAGCUGCUGGAGUGAAAUAAAUGAGAGACCACACAAUUUGGACAACCUACAGAAACGUUAGUAUGGAUGUUUUAUUUGAUCCAACCUACCACAUCUUUGAUAUUAAACUUGGCCUGAAUGAAGCAUCUGGAUUCCACAGACUUGGUCUUCCCAUUGUUAAAAGCUGAUUGCAAACUUUGCUUUGACUUCCUUUGUUGGGGCUAAAGCG
Molecule: long non-coding RNA, 454 nt
Filed under: Columba livia (rock pigeon)
Lineage: Eukaryota; Metazoa; Chordata; Aves; Columbiformes; Columbidae
Description: partial uncharacterized LOC102093648
Source: RNAcentral